RNAcentral lists this long non-coding RNA (675 nucleotides) under Fukomys damarensis (Damara mole-rat). Its description in RNAcentral is "lncRNA (ENSFDAG00000023473.1)". Lineage: Eukaryota; Metazoa; Chordata; Mammalia; Rodentia; Bathyergidae. The record is from RNAcentral.
CAAAUUCCUUAUACUCACUACAUUUUUGUGAAUUAUUAUAUGUGCUCUGGAAGCGAGCAUGACUUUUUUGUGAAUUAAACUGUACCUCAGGAUGUUAAACUUCUGUGAUUUCUCAUAGUACCACCCAUCAGAGUUCUGCCAAUAGCUUGAGAUUGCUGGUGUACGUAUUAGAUGACAAUCAUGGAGAAGCACUUUUCACAAAAAGAUAUAUUACCAUCCCACCAUACUUUAUUGUCUUGGAAAAGCUUCUUCCUUUCUUCAUACAAAGCACAGUCCACUGAUAUGAAGGGGACUGCCCGUUCGCAGCGUGGAUUUUAACCGAGGCACGGACAACAUCACCGUGAGGCAGGGGGACACGGCCAUCCUCAGACUUUACAGAGAACAAGAGUGCUCUGCAUCAGGGCACGUGCUGCGCUGCAUAUUUUUAGUCCACAAGGAAGGCCACAGCUAUGAGGAUAGACUUCCAGGAAUCCACGCAGAGGGAAAAACAGAGGGAGCAGAAAAUGUGAAAGGGCAGGAAGACGGGAUGGUGCAUGACUCCAAAGACAGCAUGUACGCCAGCUCCAGCGUGGCUCUGUGUGCGUUUUUUUCCCUGCUCCUUUUCCCAUUCCCUCCCCCUCAGAUAGACAAAACACUGAAACCACCAGGAUCCCAGGUUAUGCCUUCAAUCACCAA